Ostrea edulis (European flat oyster) is the source of this 3050-nucleotide long non-coding RNA. RefSeq lists it as uncharacterized. Lineage: Eukaryota; Metazoa; Mollusca; Bivalvia; Ostreida; Ostreidae. The record is from RefSeq and is a predicted model, not a curated record. The transcript is spliced from 3 exons.
CAUUGACAACCCGCCAUCAACGUGUACAAACCGUGUACGUAUUUGUCGGCGUCCGGGACAAUCUCGUAUCAACUGAGACGUCCGUGUAUUAACCGACAAGUCCGUGUAGCCACCGAAGUAACCGUGUAAAGUCCGGGGCCAUCCGUGUACGAAACUUUUCUGAUGAAAAACAUGGAUGUCUACAGUCUGUAGACGGAUUGUUCCUGGUAACUACACGGACAGAUACGAUAAACGCAGGGAAGAAAGACAGCGAUAAUCCGUGUAUCUCCGUGAAACAACAGUGAGUGGACCGGAAGAAACCGUUAUCUUCUGUACGCUCCGUUAUCAUGCCGGCACCGACCGGGAUUUUUUCCUGGGACAUACGAGUAGUUACCGUGCUUAUCUGUAGAGAAUCCGGCGUUUUACGGGUCUGCAUCGUGAUAAGACCGUGCUGACACUGGCAUUAUGACGUCACAAAACCCAAAGAUGUCGGAUCAUCCCGGAUGACUGGAAUUUUACAUCCGGCGUCGACCGGCUCCUGAUCCGUGAAUCUGUGAAAGGGGUUUUAGGUUUCUCAGUGACUGGUUUAGGUUUCUCAGUGACUGGAUUAUGUUUCUCAAUGACUGGGUUAUGUUUCUCAGUGACUGGGUUAUGUUUCUCAGAGACUGGGUUAUGUUUCUCAGUGACCGGGUUAUGUUUCAGUGAAUGAGUUACGUUUCUUAUUGAAUUGGUUAUUUUAUUUUUUGACCAGUUAUCAACUAGUGUCACAUUAAACAAUCAACACUUCAUAUAAUUCAGAUGGGGGAUUUUAAAUUGUAUUAAUUCCACUGAUCAAUGUAAUUUUCGUAUACUUAUCUUGAUAGGCGGGAUUCCUUAACCCUCAACCCCAACUACUCUAGCCAGAAUUGUCUGUGGAAGAUUAAUAUAAAAUAAGAUUAAAUGAAAUCCAUUUCAAGAUAGGUGUAUCAGGGCUGAUACACUACUAGGUAUAUGAUAUAUAGUACAUCUCCUUUACGUAAGUAAUAUUAACAACAGGUCUUAAUGAACAAUUCUUCAAGAUCUGAUACUAAAAUUUUUGUUCCCAUUUAUGUAAUAUCCCCCGUGUAAGAUCGAAAACGUCAUCACAAGAGGUAUCGUGUGAUACUCGACAUGUUUAUCUCUAGAAACGAAAUCUCGCCGAACACUGUGCAGUCCUAUACAAGAGUUGCCCAAGUGACGCAUAAUUUUCGCAACAUUUUUUCUAAAGAGUUCCAAAAUUUUCUAGUUCUGAUAUCCCGUAUUGUAACAAAAAUGAUCUUUCUCCGUAUUAAAAAUUAGAUAAUGAUGUUACGAAUGCAAAUGUAAUCCGCCAUGCCGAAUGCAAUAUUAUGAAUACACGUCGUUUCUUCUCGUCAAACGCAAUAAUCGAAAACAUUAUGCUGACCAAUAUACGUAUCCAGCGUAUAAAUAUAUAGGCAACGGGUAGCUCAACAUUGAAAAGUGCAUGGGAGGAGGAGAAGGGGGUACAACAACUUUAAAAUCUGUAUCUAUAAUUAUGAAUUAACAAAUUUUGUCAAUAAACUCCGAAACACUUGCUUCGGAGUUAUCGAAAAUUAAUUUUUAAAAACAACUUUCGUUUUCGAUAAACUAAUAACAAAAAUGAAAGUACAGUUGCGGACACGCUUUCGCGGAACUAAGCCACUAUUCUUAUUUUUUUCUAAAUGGCAACUUUUAAAAGAUAAUACGAUAUGAAGUAAAUCCGUUUUGUCGAUGCUUGAUUUUGAUCUUACAGAAGAAAUAAGUUUUGAUAAUUGUUGAAGUAAGCAGUUGGCAGUUAGCAGUUGACAGUUGCCUGUCGUAUAUAGAAUUCCAUAGUUGAAUGAAUAAAAUAUGUCUGUUCAUUUCUUCAAUCUGCCCCAGAAGUCAUGUGUGCAUAAAUGGUAAAUUGGUCCAGAAAUACAUUUGAAAAUAUAAGAAUAAAAAAUUAUGAUCGUGCGUGCAUUCAAUACCGAGAUAUUCCCCGUCAAAGUUAGCUAUUUUUGCACCUGCCCGAAAUCAAUCAACUGAACUUCCGGUUUUACUACAUUUAUCCAUAAUGACGUGUGACGUCACAACCCAUCAGUCUCAAACAGGCCAGUAUGGCAAAUGCGAGCGGUACCUCCGUUUCUGUGGACGAAAUCGACCUCCACAUAUCAUUUGAAGCGUCUUCCUUUGAAGAUUAUCGUAACGAGGACGUACAGGACAUCGUUCCUUACCAAUAAGAGCCAGCUGCAAUGGAUUCUGACUAUUUCGACGAGUUAAAUGGGGAGAAUGCUGAACGUGAACAACUUGAACAUCGCCUCGGAAGCACGGAAUGGUGUCAAUGUGGAUUCUAUUCCCAUAUGUCAGCUGCCAAGGAAAGUGUAUGCUGCACCGAAUUGCCAAGGGUUGAUGAGAAGAGGGGAGUCAUUCAACAUGGAACUGGCCUGCUUUACUGAACACCCUGGGUUUUCAUCAGUGUGUUUAGAUGUGCAUGAGCUCGAGGCGGCAUAAUACCAAUACUGAUCCCAGUAUGGAGAAAUGAGGACAACAAUUGAAGAGCAAGUCAAUUUUUUUUAUUGAUUUAAUCAAUACAAAAUUCACAUGACCAUUUUUUUUUAUUGAUUUAAUCAAUACAAAAUUCACAUGACCAUUGGGUCCGAUUGCUAGUUUAUCAUUAGUGAAUAAUUUCAAACAUUUCCUGGAAUUACAGGCGUAACAGAUACACAACACACAGGCAAUUUGUUUGAUAGUGCUAAGGAUACCUAGGGCACAAGGUGCGAGUCCCUCUACCCUCGUGUGCUGUGACGGAAUUCCUUUGUCUCUGAGGAGUAUCAAGGAUUCGAUGCACCUGAGUGAUGGAUGGAAAAAUUCACUGCACAGUGGAAGUGGUUGAGAUGGCAAUGAGCAUGGUAAUAGUUCUGAUGACCCUUGAAAGGCCAAACAAGUCUCCUUCAUCAGGACUGAUGGGCUGGAAUAAAUGGACACUAUUUAAAAUUUUAUGUAUGCUUUAUAUCCUUAUGAAUAAAUUACUCUUUACUAUAUGUAUUGUAUUUUGAUAAAUAAUAAAAAUU